UCCAUAAAAAACAUCUCCUCUCUCACUGACAGGAGUUGAAUUUCCUGAAUUUAGCAGGAAGGAAAUGACAUGUACAAGUAACACAAGUAAGAAUAGUUCAUAUGUGAGCAGAAUGUCUGCAUUCAGAGGGAUUCGUAAAUAUCUGCUGCUGCUUCAUUUGACAGCUGUAACUGGACAGUAUACGUCCUUCGUUGUCAGAGAUGGAGAGAGUGUCACUUUGCCCUGUGAAAACAUGACGUACAACCAGAAUGGAUGUGAACAUACAAGCUGGCUCUUCAGCGGUGCGGGGAACACACCGGCAGUAGAACUGGUCACACUCGGGCAGGUUGGUGAAAAUGACGGAGCUAAAUCAGACCGACUGGGUGUCGCAGAGAACUGUUCUCUGGUUCUAAAGAAGGUCACAGUCGAGGAUGUCGGUCGUUACAGCUGCAGACAGGUCAGCAAAUCAAGACAACAGGGUCCAGACGCCCAUAUCUAUCUGUCUGUUAUUAACAGGUCUGAACACAGUGACAGUGAUACGGUGACUCUUUCCUGCUCUGUGACGACAUUUGGAUGGUGCACACAGAGAGUGAAGUGGCUGUUUAAGGGUCAAGGCAUCACAGAUGCGAAGACGAAGCAGGCCUACUGCUCAACCAGUGUGACCUUUAAGACAUCUCAUUACAUUCACACAUCAGGGUCUGGAUCACUUACGUGUGAGGCCACUGAUAUUUACACUGGAAGCGUGCGGGUGUUUACCUUUGGGCCUCAGUCCUCAGGUGAGGAUGCGACAACAGUGAGAACAACCAAAGAGAGUCCAACUGCAGUUGAAGAUGCAACAAAACCAAAAGACUGGUGGAGAUAUGUCACCGUGUCUGUGGGAUUAGCAUUACUUGUAACGUGUGUUGUGGCAGUCAACAUGUGGACAAGAACCAAAGGGUCCAAAACCGAGAUUGCUGAAAACGUGGGUAACAACUAUGAAGAUGAUGGCACGGAGGACUAUGAAAACAUGUAAAUUCAGCAUCCACGCAGUGUGAUGGCUGCUUGUUGAGGUGCCGUAGAACAGGUGAUCUCUGCCUAUGUGUUGCUCUGAGGAAAAGGGCGUCCUGCCAGCCACUGCUUGUACCAAAUUACCUUUAACCUGAAAUCAAUAAUGUGACACCUACCGAAGUUAGGUACUGAAUUUGUUCGCAUAAUGAAGAUGUAGAAAAUAAGUUGUGAUGUUAGAAUCAGUCUUGACCACAGUCAACACUUCUGCAAACUGUACAGGCUCAGAGAGUAGCUGAAUUAGCCAGUGUGUAGGCAUAAAGCCAUGUGUUUGCUUGUAUAUUUGGUUAUUACAUGUAUAAUUUUUGUGUAUAAGUGUAUUUAUGUAUGUCCUAGUUUUCUCCUCUGAUUCUAAACCUUCCCAUGAAGUCAAAUCGACGUCAAAGUGUCUUUAUCACCUCAUCUAUUGCUCUAUAUCGCACCUGUUAGCCUGUUUAAGGCCCAAGAAUGGCUACAAAGUUGAUUUUGGGGUAUAUUUAAUGGUAUUAUUAAGUGUAUAAUCAAAAAUUGUGUUGCAGAUUCAUCCUGCACUUUGGGGUCUAUACACAUUUUUCAUCCACUAAAUGCAUUUUAUAUAAUUAUGAUGUUGCCAUAGAUUUAUAAAAAGAGAGACACUGCCAGGUGGCUUGGUUCUGGGACCAGGAGGUGAUUUAUGAAAUUUACAUGAGGCUUUGUUGCAAAAGUGACUGCUCACUGCUACUCUUUGCAGCUGGCAUUAGCUAGUUAGCACAGUUAGCUGUGGGUCAUGGUCCUUGGUUUAAGUUCGGUGGAUUCGCUGUUUCAUGUUGAAAAUGUAUCACUGUGUGAAAUGUUUUCUUUCCACUUCCUGUAUGUUUCUGUCUUCCUGCCCUUCUCUGUGUCCACCUGUUUCUCAUUUGUUCAUUAGCCGUUAUGGAUUAAAUAUUGUAGAGCUUUGUUUUUCCCUUAUUCUUCAUGGGUUCAUUUGUUUUCAUCGAUCCUUAUUAGAGAUGCACCGAUCAGGAUUUUUGGGGCCGAUCACCGAUCACCGAUCACCGAAAACAGUAUCUGCCGAUCCCGAUAUUGCCGAUCACCGAUCACAGGGUCAAAUCCAUAAAUUUUUCUAUAUUGUUGUCUUGUGUAACUUUCAUAUAUUUAAUUAAUGAUUCUUCUUACACAACAUUGACAUUGUAUUAUUAAGUAUAAAAAUUAGGAGAUGAGAAAGUAUCAUGAAUUGACCACCGUUUUAUUGCAGGCUGAGGCAAUGUGCAAUAUUUCACACUCUAGAGACUCUCUUAGAGACAACUUGGACUCAGCUUACAUAGAGUAACUGUAGCUUACUAGUGGGAAUGCAUGCAGUCAGGGUGGGAAUUUUGUCAUUUUAGGGGCAAGUCCAUUUGGCCUUCACUUCUUUUUUUCAGGGGCACCAAGCCCACAUGACAGGGCACAAAGGCCACUGGGUAAAAUGUGUUGAUUUACCUUUCAGACUGAUACCAUAACAUCCUAAUUUAUAAUAAGACAUGGAUUGUGUAUUAAAACAUUUUUUUAUACCAAAAUCAAGUUAAAGUUACAUUAGAAAGUAGUUUUUGUUAAGUAGGGUUAGGGUGAGGUGAUUUUUGUGACACCUCACUGAAUAUUAGUGUUAUUGAAUAUUUCUCCCAAUAGAAAUUCCCCAAAAUUAUGGCAAAGCAAAUUUUUUCCAAACAAAAAAAUGUAGAAUAACCAGCAGGAGACCACUGAUGUGUGGAGUGAUUUUGGUGACACUACACUCUGAAUAAUACUGAAGUUAUUGAAUUUUUUGUAGUUUCUCUUUUCAGUGUUGCACUUUGUAGACGGUCCCUGCGCCCUCGUCUCACAGACGGCUGACCAUACAGACCAGAGUUAAUGUCCAGACGCUCGUUUUGAUGAAAAUACGGUUGUAGCUCGUUGUCUACCGUACUACGAUAGGAAGGAGCCAUCGUUUGUGUUUUAACAAGGUUUCACUUAUGAGUUAUUGAUCUGGGAAGUUCGAAUCUGUGAAUAUAUUUCCAACUUUACCGGACUAAAUCCUACCACAUAAGUCAGUUUCGUAUCAUGUCAAAACCGGCUGCGCUCGCUUUCGCACCUGUGCUGUAAGUUUUGUCCUACUGUUUUGAGACGCUGCUGCUGUGUGAGAGGCUUUCACGUGAGAUCAUCGUGAUGAUGAGACUCCACCUGCGCGAACCGCGGACUCACUGAAGUCACUGUGAGUGACUACUGUGCACUCAGAUGGCUGUAAUUCAGGGCAGGCUUGAAUUCAGAGGCCGCUGUGGCCGUACGAUGAGUUUUUUUUUCACGGGGCAUCAAGGCCAAAAUGCGGGGCAACGGCGGCCAUGAAAUUCCCUCCCGGCAUGCAGUUAAUGCACUGUCUUUAUACUUAAACGUCAUCUGAUCGACCUGAUGUGAUCUAUUUUGAGAACUCCGAUCAAAACCGAUAGGGGCAUUAUCGGCCGAUUGCGAUCGGUUGCCGAUCGAUCGGUGCAUCUCUAAUCCUUAUAUGUCCCCUCUGUUUAUGAUUUGUUCACCAUGCCUUUAUGAUUGAUCCUGUGUUUACGUAAUACUGAUUGUCCUUUUCGUGACCUGCAUUUUGGAUUUUCGGACCUCAGCUGUGUUAUUAAAGCUCUCCUUUUGUUGCUCAACCUACCUGCCUGUUUGGGUCCCUUUUUGAUCAACUGUGUAGUGAGUUCAGUGGUUCUAUUUACUG
RNAcentral lists this long non-coding RNA (3703 nucleotides) under Sparus aurata (gilthead seabream). Its description in RNAcentral is "lncRNA (ENSSAUG00010019443.1)". The record is from RNAcentral. Lineage: Eukaryota; Metazoa; Chordata; Actinopteri; Spariformes; Sparidae.